GGACGGUUAACUCAGUUGGUAGAGUGUCUGCUUUACACGCAGAAGGUCGCGGGUUCGAGUCCCUCACCGUCCA
RNAcentral lists this transfer RNA (73 nucleotides) under Leptolyngbyaceae cyanobacterium LF-bin-369. It matches the Rfam family "tRNA". From Rfam's summary of the family: Transfer RNA (tRNA) molecules are approximately 80 nucleotides in length. Lineage: Bacteria; Bacillati; Cyanobacteriota; Cyanophyceae; Leptolyngbyales; Leptolyngbyaceae. The record is from Rfam by way of RNAcentral.